This 485-nucleotide ribosomal RNA is filed under the name Acrapex mondogeneta. RNAcentral's name for it is "partial 16S ribosomal RNA". The record is from RNAcentral. Lineage: Eukaryota; Metazoa; Arthropoda; Insecta; Lepidoptera; Noctuidae.
AAAACAUGUCUUUUUGAAAAUAAUAUAAAGUCUAAUCUGCCCACUGAUUGAUAAUUAAAGGGCUGCAGUAUUUUGACUGUACAAAGGUAGCAUAAUCAUUAGUCAUUUAAUUGAUGACUUGUAUGAAAGAUUGGAUGAAAUAUAAACUGUUUCUUAAUUAAAUAUAGAAUUUAAUUUUUUUAUUAAAAAGUUAAAAUAAUUUAAAAAGACGAGAAGACCCUAUAGAGUUUAAUAAAUAAAAAAAAUUGAGAUUAUUUAUAAAUAUUAAAAUUAAAAUUUAAUUAUUUAUUUUGUUGGGGUGACAAAAAAAUUUAUUUAACUUUUUUAAAAGUAAAACAUCAAUAAGUGGGUUAUUGAUCCAGUUAUACUGAUUAUAAGAAAAAAUUACCUUAGGGAUAACAGCGUAAUUUUUUUUUUUAGUUCAAAUAAGAAAAAGAGUUUGCGACCUCGAUGUUGGAUUAAGAUAAAAUUUAAAUGUAGAAGUU